This 254-nucleotide ribosomal RNA is filed under the name uncultured bacterium. RNAcentral describes it as "partial 16S ribosomal RNA". It matches the Rfam family "Bacterial small subunit ribosomal RNA", at positions 524 to 777 of the family's 1533-position model. The record is from RNAcentral.
GACGAACCGUCCUAACGUUGUUCGGAAUCACUGGGCUUAAAGGGCGCGUAGGCGGCCUGGCAAGUGGAAGGUGAAAUCCCUCGGCUUAACCGAGGAACUGCCCUCCAAACUGCUUGGCUUGAGUCCGGGAGAGGUGAGUGGAAUUCCCAGUGUAGCGGUGAAAUGCGUAGAUAUUGGGAGGAACACCAGUGGCGAAGGCGGCUCACUGGACCGGAACUGACGCUGAGGCGCGAAAGCGCGGGGAGCAAACGGGG